This 818-nucleotide small RNA is filed under the name uncultured Plectosphaerella. RNAcentral's name for it is "eukaryotic LSU rRNA". The stretch from base 538 to 818 matches the Rfam family "Eukaryotic large subunit ribosomal RNA", at positions 1 to 281 of the family's 3401-position model. Lineage: Eukaryota; Fungi; Ascomycota; Sordariomycetes; Glomerellales; Plectosphaerellaceae. The record is from RNAcentral.
CUUGGUCAUUUAGAGGAAGUAAAAGUCGUAACAAGGUCUCCGUUGGUGAACCAGCGGAGGGAUCAUUACUGAGUACUACACUCACUACCCUUUGUGAACUAUUAUACCUGUUGCUUCGGCGGCGCCCGCAAGGGUGCCCGCCGGUCUCAUCAGAAUCUCUGUUUUCGAACCCGACGAUACUUCUGAGUGUUCUUAGCGAACUGUCAAAACUUUUAACAACGGAUCUCUUGGCUCCAGCAUCGAUGAAGAACGCAGCGAAACGCGAUAUGUAAUGUGAAUUGCAGAAUUCAGUGAAUCAUCGAAUCUUUGAACGCACAUGGCGCCUUCCAGUAUCCUGGGAGGCAUGCCUGUCCGAGCGUCGUUUCAACCCUCGAGCCCCCGUGGCCCGGCGUUGGGGAUCUGCCACGGCAGGCCCCUAAAACCAGUGGCGGACCCGAAGGGCCCUCUCCUUUGCGCAGUAGCAUUAGCCUCGCAUCGGGAGCCCUCGGCGUCCUGCCUCUAAACCCCCCCCAAAGCCCGCUCCGGCGGCACCAAGGUUGACCUCGGAUCAGGUAGGAAUACCCGCUGAACUUAAGCAUAUCAAUAAGCGGAGGAAAAGAAACCAACAGGGAUUGCCUCAGUAACGGCGAGUGAAGCGGCAACAGCUCAAAUUUGAAAUCUGGCUCCUUCGGGGCCCGAGUUGUAAUUUGCAGAGGAUGCGUCGGGUACGGGUUCCUUCCGAGUUCCCUGGAACGGGACGCCAUAGAGGGUGAGAGCCCCGUCUGGUAGGAAACCCAGCCCAUGUGACGCUCCCUCGACGAGUCGAGUUGUUUGGGAAU